GAUGAACGCUGGCGGCGUGCCUAAUACAUGCAAGUCGAGCGAACAGACGAGGAGCUUGCUCCUCUGACGUUAGCGGCGGACGGGUGGGUAACACGUAGAUAACCUACCUAUAAGACUGGGAUAACUUCGGGAAACCGGAGCUAAUACCGGAUAAUAUAUUGAACCGCAUGGUUCAAUAGUGAAAGACGGUUUUGCUGUCACUUAUAGAUGGAUCCGCGCCGCAUUAGCUAGUUGGUAAGGUAACGGCUUACCAAGGCAACGAUGCGUAGCCGACCUGAGAGGGUGAUCGGCCACACUGGAACUGAGACACGGUCCAGACUCCUACGGGAGGCAGCAGUAGGGAAUCUUCCGCAAUGGGCGAAAGCCUGACGGAGCAACGCCGCGUGAGUGAUGAAGGUCUUCGGAUCGUAAAACUCUGUUAUUAGGGAAGAACAAAUGUGUAAGUAACUAUGCACGUCUUGACGGUACCUAAUCAGAAAGCCACGGCUAACUACGUG
This 497-nucleotide ribosomal RNA is filed under the name uncultured bacterium. RNAcentral describes it as "partial 16S ribosomal RNA". It matches the Rfam family "Bacterial small subunit ribosomal RNA", at positions 28 to 507 of the family's 1533-position model. The record is from RNAcentral.